UACGGGGGGGGCAAGCGUUGUUCGGAAUUACUGGGCGUAAAGGGCGCGUAGGCGGCCAUCUAAGUCAGACGUGAAAUCCCUCGGCUCAACCGAGGAACUGCGUCUGAUACUGGAAGGCUUGAAUCCGGGAGAGGGAUGUGGAAUUCCAGGUGUAGCGGUGAAAUGCGUAGAUAUCAGGAAGAACACCCGUGGCGAAGGCGGCUCUCUGGGACGGUACUGACGCUGAGACGCGAAAGCGUGGGGAGCGAACAGG
This 253-nucleotide ribosomal RNA is filed under the name uncultured bacterium. RNAcentral's name for it is "partial 16S ribosomal RNA". It matches the Rfam family "Bacterial small subunit ribosomal RNA", at positions 524 to 776 of the family's 1533-position model. The record is from RNAcentral.